GGCCUAUUGAUUUUUAUUUUAGGUCGGACCUGCCCAAUGAUUUUUAUUAAAUGGCCGCGGUAAUUUGACCGUGCAAAGGUAGCAUAAUCAAUAGUUUUUUAAUUGAAAGCUUGUAUGAAGGGUUUGAUGAAAAAAUAACUGUCUCUAUUUAAAUUUAUUAGAAAUUUAUUUUUAAGUAAAAAAGCUUAAAUAUAUAUAGAAGACGAUAAGACCCUAUAGAGUUUAAUAGUUGUCUAAGUAGUUAUAAAUUUAGUAUUAUAAUAAUUAUUUAGGUUAAUUAUUUAGUUGGGGUGAUUAGAAAAUUAAAUAAACUUUUUUUAUAUUGAAACAUUUAUGUAUGAAUAUUUGAUCCUUAUAUUAAGAUUAUAAGAUAAAAUUACCUUAGGGAUAACAGCGUAAUUUUUUUUAAAAGUUCUGAUUGAAAAAAAAGAUUGCGACCUCGAUGUUGGAUUAAAAGAAAUUAUUGGUGUAGAAGCUAAUAAAUUAGGUCUGUUCGACCUUUAAAAUUUUACAUGAUCUGAGUUUAAACCGGUGUGAG
Molecule: ribosomal RNA, 538 nt
Filed under: Poropterus cf. variabilis ARC5189
Lineage: Eukaryota; Metazoa; Arthropoda; Insecta; Coleoptera; Curculionidae
Description: partial 16S large subunit ribosomal RNA
Rfam family: Bacterial large subunit ribosomal RNA
Source: RNAcentral